RNAcentral lists this transfer RNA (75 nucleotides) under Escherichia coli. RNAcentral's name for it is "tRNA-Gly". It matches the Rfam family "tRNA". Rfam says of the family: Transfer RNA (tRNA) molecules are approximately 80 nucleotides in length. Their secondary structure includes four short double-helical elements and three loops (D, anti-codon, and T loops). The record is from RNAcentral. Lineage: Bacteria; Pseudomonadati; Pseudomonadota; Gammaproteobacteria; Enterobacterales; Enterobacteriaceae.
GCGGGUAUCGUAUAAUGGCUAUUACCUCAGCCUUCCAAGCUGAUGAUGCGGGUUCGAUUCCCGUUACCCGCUCCA